Oncorhynchus tshawytscha (Chinook salmon) is the source of this 662-nucleotide long non-coding RNA. Lineage: Eukaryota; Metazoa; Chordata; Actinopteri; Salmoniformes; Salmonidae. The record is from Ensembl.
AUGGUGGGAGGUGGUAUGGUGGGAGGAGAAAUGGUGGGAGGAGACAUGUUGGGAGGUGUUAUGGUGGGAGGAGACAUGGUGGGAGGAGACAUGGUGGGAGGUAAUAUGGUUGGAGGUGGUAUGGUGGGAGGUGAUAUGGUGGGAGGGGGUAGGGUGGGAGGUGGUAUGGUGGGUGGUGGUAUGGUGGGUGGUGGUAUGGUGGGAGGUGGUAUGGUGGGAGGUGGUAUGGUGGGAGGUGGUAUGGUGUGUGGUGGUGUGGUAGUAUGGUGGGUGGUGGUAUGGUGGGUGGUGGUAUGGUGGUGUGGUGGUAUGGUGGGAGGUGGUAUGGUGGGAGGUGGUAUGGUGGGAGGUGGUAUGGUGGGAGGUGGUAUGGUGGUGUGGUGGUAUGGUGGUAUGGUGGUGUGGUGGUAUGGUGGGAGGUGGUAUGGUGGUGUGGUGGUAUGGUGGUAUGGUAGUAUGGUGGGUGGUGAUAUGUAUGUUGAGAUAAAGAGUGAAAUUCACAACCACUUUACCUUCUUAAUUACCCCUUUCUCCUUCCCUAAUUCUCAUCAGACAGGAGAGACAGCACCAUGGAUUAGCACUUUAGCAAAACGUUUUCACUCUCACUACCCUCCCUCCUCCCUCCCUCUUUCUACUGCUUCUCACCUUUCACUUUCUUCCUU